This is a long non-coding RNA of Mastomys coucha (southern multimammate mouse), 237 nucleotides long. RefSeq lists it as uncharacterized. NCBI's taxonomy places the organism in Eukaryota, Metazoa, Chordata, Mammalia, Rodentia, Muridae. The transcript has 3 exons. The record is from RefSeq and is a predicted model, not a curated record.
ACCAGGCAGUCAACCAACCCUUAAGGGCAACCUUUGCCCUGCAGGCAAGAUAAGAAUAAGGUGAUGUUGCCUACCUCCUGAAUUUUACAGCCUGAAUGGCUUUUCCAUCAUGAAGUUAGUUGUGCUAAGGUUCAAAACCAAAAACAAAACAAAAUUUUCAGCCUACCCUGAAUCCACAACCCCACGAUGUGUGCCCACCACACCUUUGCCUUAAUAAACUCCUGAACCUGUGAUAUA